UGGGGAAUAUUGGACAAUGGGCGAAAGCCUGAUCCAGCCAUGCCGCGUGUGUGAAGAAGGCCUUUUGGUUGUAAAGCACUUUAAGCGAGGAGGAGGCUACUUAGAUUAAUACUCUAGGAUAGUGGACGUUACUCGCAGAAUAAGCACCGGCUAACUCUGUGCCAGCAGCCGCGGUAAUACAGAGGGUGCGAGCGUUAAUCGGAUUUACUGGGCGUAAAGCGUGCGUAGGCGGCUUUUUAAGUCGGAUGUGAAAUCCCUGAGCUUAACUUAGGAAUUGCAUUCGAUACUGGGAAGCUAGAGUAUGGGAGAGGAUGGUAGAAUUCCAGGUGUAGCGGAGAAAUGCGUAGAGAUCUGGAGGAAUACCGAUGGCGAAGGCAGCCAUCUGGCCUAAUACUGACGCUGAGGUACGAAAGCAUGGGGAGCAAACAGG
RNAcentral lists this ribosomal RNA (430 nucleotides) under bacterium. RNAcentral describes it as "partial 16S ribosomal RNA". It matches the Rfam family "Bacterial small subunit ribosomal RNA", at positions 355 to 776 of the family's 1533-position model. The record is from RNAcentral.